This 303-nucleotide ribosomal RNA is filed under the name uncultured bacterium. Its description in RNAcentral is "partial 16S ribosomal RNA". It matches the Rfam family "Bacterial small subunit ribosomal RNA", at positions 935 to 1227 of the family's 1533-position model. The record is from RNAcentral.
AAAGGGGGGGGCAUUUUGUUUUAUUUGGAGGAAAGGGGAGAACCUUUCCCGGCCUUGACAUUUCGAGAAAUUUUCAGAGAUGGGUUGGUUCCUUUUGGGAACAUAAAACAAGGGGUGCAUGGGUGUUGUUAACUUGUGUUGUGAGAAGUUGGGUUUAAUUCCGCAAAGAGGGGAAACCUUUUUCUUUUUUUUCCGCAAGUUAUGGUGGGGAAUUUUAGGGAGACUGCGGGGGAAAAACGGGAGGAAGGUGGGGAUGAGUUAAGUUAUUAUGGCCCUUUAGGCCAGGGGUUACACAGUUGUUCA